GACGAAGGAUGCAAGCGUUAUCCGGAUUCAUUGGGUUUAAAGGGAGCGUAGGUGGCCUUAUAAGUCAGUGGUGAAAUCUCUGGGCUUAACCCAGAAAUUGCCAUUGAUACUGUAGGGCUUGAGUAUAGAUGCCGUUGGCGGAAUAUGACAUGUAGUGGUGAAAUACAUAGAGAUGUCAUAGAACACCGAUUGCGAAGGCAGCUCACAAAACUGUAACUGACGCUGAGGCUCGAAAGUGCGGGGAUCAAACAGG
This 253-nucleotide ribosomal RNA is filed under the name uncultured bacterium. Its description in RNAcentral is "partial 16S ribosomal RNA". It matches the Rfam family "Bacterial small subunit ribosomal RNA", at positions 524 to 776 of the family's 1533-position model. The record is from RNAcentral.